AGAUUAAAUUAUUUUUAUUUUAUCCUGGUUUUGUUUAUCUCAUUAUGACUUCCUUUUAAUGCAAGAUCUUCGUUCAACUCUAUUAAACCUGCAGUUUAGAAUAAUUAAACUAAACCACAUUUGUUUCACAGUUUGUGGUGUAAUUCUGUACGUAAAGAUAAGAUAAGAACAACACUACUCCGGCAGUAACAUAUAAAGUUCUUAUUUCUUCGAUAUUUUUAUUCACUAUCGAUGAACACAUGAUUAUUUUGAUUCUUGAACUUAAUUCUUUGGUUAAUUUUAAUAUUCUAUGUCAAGGCAUUUAAACAAAUUAACUUUCUGACCUAAUUACGAUCAUUGUAAUAAGUCAUUAAAAAGUAAUCAUCAUGUUAUGACUGGAAUAAAUAUUGUUCUUUUGAUAACAAAGUAAAUCCACUCAUGUAAAACAUUGUAAGUAGUUAAGUGAAACAAUACAAGAACUUAACUUGCGACAACUUACGUUCAACUUCAACAGUAGAAUUCAAAUCGCAAAAGCACUUUGCUGCCUGUCAAUGACAUUUGUGUUAUGAAGCGACUUGUAAGUGUGAUAGAAAGAGGAAAUGAAUAUUGAUAUGGUCACUACAUUGUCAAUAAAUUUUUUUUUUUUUUUUACAAAUAAUUGCUAACUAGUAUCACA
Molecule: long non-coding RNA, 655 nt
Organism: Chelonus insularis
Lineage: Eukaryota; Metazoa; Arthropoda; Insecta; Hymenoptera; Braconidae
Exons: 3
Source: RefSeq, a predicted model, not a curated record